GUAGGGUGAUGUAGAUCAAACUCUUUUGUAUUAGCACCUAAAUAAAUCUAUAAGCAACGAUUUAUAAGUUGGUGCACAUAUUUAAACUCCACAAUUCACAAUAAAUACUUUGUAACUGUAUUUGGUGUUAAUGCGUAAUUUUUAAGAAAUAUGAUAUGUGAUGUAUGUUGGUGCAAAUAUAACAUAUUUCUUCUACAGAAACCUACACACACAUUCAAACCUACUCACAACAUUUUAAUGCUUUCUUGUAGAACUCCAAAAUGUUACUGUUUGUUUGUUUGUUUGUUUGUUUUUAUAUUGAUACAUGCGUUAUGCGUCACCCAUUCUUUUAUCUGUCGAAACAAAGCAAGUCCAACUUUGUCAACUAAAAGUCAAAUACCUUGUAUGGGCUUCGACCACAUGGUUGUCUUCGUCCUCUUCAUCGUCGUCGUGAUGCUCGUGCUCGCCCGCCACUGUGACCUAGAAGUCAUUCGGAACACCACAGCACAGUCACAGCGUCUGUCAGAUCGCGCGGUGUCGUUGGUGUGUGCAUUAGAACAAAAACAAACAAACGAAGAAAGAAGAAGAAGAAAGAAAGAGGAGGGAGAAGAAGAAGUAGAUUAGAAAAGAAAAAAAAAAAAAAACAAAUGAGAAGGGCGGGGAGGGCGGGGCUUUCCAAUCUGGUCUGGAGCAGUUCCCGAGUGAGAUCGGCACCAGUCCUGCUGCACCUGCUCCUCCACCUGCGUCCUCAUCACAUCUGAGAAUGGAAGCUACAUCAAUCCACUCUCUGUUGUCUGUAAGACAUCAACGACUGCCAUUUCCUUCGUCUUUUGUCGUUUUUCUGUUGUCUUGUGUUCCACGGUCGCCGUCGUCGUCAUCGCCAUCAUCAUCGCUGUCGGUGU
RNAcentral lists this long non-coding RNA (881 nucleotides) under Physcomitrium patens. RNAcentral describes it as "long non-coding RNA (PPAT_LNC011875)". Lineage: Eukaryota; Viridiplantae; Streptophyta; Bryopsida; Funariales; Funariaceae. The record is from RNAcentral.